RNAcentral lists this ribosomal RNA (485 nucleotides) under uncultured bacterium. RNAcentral's name for it is "partial 16S ribosomal RNA". It matches the Rfam family "Bacterial small subunit ribosomal RNA", at positions 28 to 507 of the family's 1533-position model. The record is from RNAcentral.
GAUGAACGCUAGCGGCAGGCCUAAUACAUGCAAGCCAAGGGCUGUUUGGUGUAGCAAUACAUCAUACCACCGGCGGACGGGGGCGUAACGAGUAUGCAACCUACCCUAUACAGGAGGAUAGCCCUCUGAAAAGAGGAUUAAUACUCCAUAAGAUUGCUUAGAGGCAUCUUUAAGCAAUUAAAGCCGCAAGGUGGUUUAGGCUGGGCGUGCGUUCGGUUAGCCAGUUGGUGAGGGAUCAGCUCACCAAGGCGAUGAUCGGUAGGGGUUAUGAGAGUAAGGCCCCCCAGACGGGCACUGAGACCCGGGCCCCACUCCUACGGGAGGCAGCAGUAAGGAAUAUUGGAGAAGGAGGGAAAGCCUGAUCCAGCCAUGCGGCGUGCAGGAAGAAGCCGCUAGGGGUUGUAAACUGCUUGUGAGGGGGAGAAAUAUGGGCGAUGCGUCGCUCGAUGAUAGUACUUCUCGAAUAAGCAUCGGCUAACUUCGUG